Molecule: ribosomal RNA, 253 nt
Filed under: uncultured bacterium
Lineage: Bacteria
Description: partial 16S ribosomal RNA
Rfam family: Bacterial small subunit ribosomal RNA
Source: RNAcentral
UACGAAGGGGGCUAGCGUUGUUCGGAUUUACUGGGCGUAAAGCGCACGUAGGCGGAUUGUUAAGUCGGGGGUGAAAUCCUGGAGCUCAACUCCAGAACUGCCUUCGAUACUGGCAAUCUCGAGUCCGGAAGAGGUGAGUGGAACUCCUAGUGUAGAGGUGGAAUUCGUAGAUAUUAGGAAGAACACCAGUGGCGAAGGCGGCUCACUGGUCCGGUACUGACGCUGAGGUGCGAAAGCGUGGGGAGCAAACAGG